This is a long non-coding RNA of Poecile atricapillus (Black-capped chickadee), 269 nucleotides long. RefSeq lists it as uncharacterized. The transcript has 3 exons. The record is from RefSeq and is a predicted model, not a curated record. Lineage: Eukaryota; Metazoa; Chordata; Aves; Passeriformes; Paridae.
CCCACCGAGCCAGGCCGCGCGACUGGCAAAACUUUCCACUCUUCACACCUUUUAGCAAACAAAGACAUUAACCUGCACUUACGGUUCCAAGGUUCUUUUAAAAGACCAUGAAGAAGAGAAAUUGCUUCAACAUUUAUCUUCAAUUCUGCCAAAUUUCUAGGAACCACCAUCUAAGCACUGCUUCAGGCAGAGCACAACAGCAAACCACAGGAAGCUCCAAGUGAUGCAGAAUGGAAGGGCAGGAACCUGUUUGCAAUUUUCAGGUGAGG